GUAUCUAUUUUUCAAGCUGUCUUCAACUUAGACUCUUUAGCCUGUGACAGAAAAUUUUACUUGAAAUAAAUUACUCAACUUCKUUUAAUAGCAAAAUUGCAGUAUUUAGUUUUUGGAAUUUGAUUCAGAACAAGCAACCAAAGGGCAGUAGAAGCUGCCAGUAGAGCGAGGAUGGAUUUGCCAUGUUAUACUUGGAUGCAUGUGUGGUGGCAGUGCAAUCUGUCUCCUGUUAUGUGACAAGGUGUGCAUCCAAGACAACUAGAUGCUCAUGGGGAGGCUCUAAGCUCUUUAUCUUUUCUCCUUCUCAGUAAAUCUAUACCUGCAUAAGGCCAGUUAGAUUCAACAAGCCAAUUUCAAAAGGUUGGACAAGCAGGUACAGUGUACAGUUCUGUUUAAUUACUGUCUUUUGUCUGAGGUAUGAGAAAGGUUGUCAUGGUAGGAAGACUGGCUCUGGCUAAGCCAUAUUGGUUCUUCUCUGUUUUCCCCUGGGAAGUCAUAUUCUUUCACAUUGUUUCCACUACUGUAGAUUGUAAAAGUCUGUCUGAUGUUGUAGAAGUCUUACAAAUAUGCCUAAUAAAAUCAGAGUACUAAUCCUCAUUUUUUUAUAAUUUCAGAAGAACAUACUCAAGUUACUUUCCAAAGGCAAACUAAAAAAAAAAAAAAAAUCUCAUUCUCUUUCUGUAAUGUCAUAAAUCUGAAGUAGCCCCUCUACUCAACAGAACGACACAGAAGUAAUGGAGAUGAGGAGAGGCUUCCAAGUUCUACUUCCUAAAUCCUGGCUCCCUUUUGAUGUGAAAACUCUGUGUGAACACAAAGGGAUUGCAAACAGAGAAAAAAAUAUAUAUUUCUCUUGUUAAAUAUCAUUAUUCCAUACAACUUUCCAAUCCUGCUUAGAUUUCUUUCUUUUUCUAUUCAGAAGGGCAUAGUUCUUUAAAAAAAAAAAAAAAAAAAAAUCAAAUCAAUGUGUUUAGAUCAAUGAAAAUCCAACUCCUUCAAGAGUACGGCAGACUAUUUCAGAAAUGGGAAUGCGUUUCUAAAAGGCCAGACGCUCAGCCAGAGAUGGACAAGAUGAUCAGGGGCUUGGAAGAGCAGCUGGAUCACCCUGGCAAGUACCUCAGGAAGGCAGAGCUAACUGCUCCUAAUACGGCUGGAGAGCCAGGGUUUUUUGUUUCUGGUUUCAUCUGUAACUCAGGCAAACACACACUAUGCAAAAGAAAAAUUCUGGAAGAGUUCAUUAACAGGUAUGUAAACAACAAAUGCAUGUCACUAGUACCUCUUACUGCAAAAGUUCAGUAAGUACUCUAUGCAUCGUCGGAUUUUAAAGCGUAAUAUAAAUCUAUUCCUUCUGCUCAGGUCUGGAAAUAUCUCUGU
Molecule: long non-coding RNA, 1371 nt
Filed under: Dromaius novaehollandiae (emu)
Lineage: Eukaryota; Metazoa; Chordata; Aves; Casuariiformes; Dromaiidae
Description: lncRNA (ENSDNVG00000000154.1)
Source: RNAcentral